Molecule: ribosomal RNA, 433 nt
Filed under: uncultured bacterium
Lineage: Bacteria
Description: partial 16S ribosomal RNA
Rfam family: Bacterial small subunit ribosomal RNA
Source: RNAcentral
AACGAACGCUGGCGGCAUGCCUAACACAUGCAAGUCGAACGAUAACUUCGGGUCUAGUGGUGACCGGUUGCGUAACGCGUGGUAACGUGCCCUUAGGUUCGGAAUAGCUCCCCGUAAGGGGUGGUAAUACCUGCUAAUGUCGUCGGUCCAAAGAUUUAUCGCCUUUGGAUGGGCCCGCGAUGGGUUAGCUAGUUGGUAGGGUAACAGCCUACCAAGGCGACGAUCCAUAGCUGGUCUGAGAGGAUGAUCAGCCACACUGGGACUGAGACACGGCCCAGACUCCUACGGGAGGCAGCAGUGGGGAAUAUUGGACAAUGGGCGAAAGCCUGAUCCAGCAAUGCCGCGUGAGUGAUGAAGGCCUUAGGGUUGUAAAGCUCUUUUACCCGGGAUGAUAAUGACAGUACCGGGAGAAUAAGCACCGGCUAACUCCGUG